UGGGGAAUCUUGCGCAAUGGGGGAAACCCUGACGCAGCGACGCCGCGUGCGGGAUGAAGGCCUUCGGGUUGUAAACCGCUUUCAGCAGGGACGAGGCCUUAUGGUUACGGUACCUGCAGAAGAAGCUCCGGCUAAAUACGUGCCAGCAGCCGCGGUAAUACGUAUGGAGCAAGCGGUAUCCGGAUUCAUUGUGCGUAAAGCGCUCGUAAGCAGUCUGUUAGGUCGGCAAGUUAAAUCCGGGGGCUCAACCCCCGUCCGCUUCCGAUACCGGAAGACUUGAGUUUGGUAGGGGAAGGUGGAAUUACUAGUGUAGCGGUGGAAUGCGCAGAUAUUAGGAAGAUCACCGGUGGCGAAGGCGUACAUCUGCGCCAUAACUGUCACUGAGGAGCGGGAGAUAGGGGAGCGAACAGG
RNAcentral lists this ribosomal RNA (411 nucleotides) under Verrucomicrobiota bacterium. RNAcentral's name for it is "Verrucomicrobia bacterium partial 16S ribosomal RNA". It matches the Rfam family "Bacterial small subunit ribosomal RNA", at positions 355 to 776 of the family's 1533-position model. Lineage: Bacteria; Pseudomonadati; Verrucomicrobiota. The record is from RNAcentral.